Molecule: long non-coding RNA, 1284 nt
Organism: Cyanistes caeruleus (blue tit)
Lineage: Eukaryota; Metazoa; Chordata; Aves; Passeriformes; Paridae
Source: RefSeq, a predicted model, not a curated record
CACGCCCGCGCUCCGCCGGGAGGGAGAGGGAGAGAGAGAGAGAGGGCGAGCCCUCAGGAGUCAGGGAGUGCGAUAGGACGCCAGCUUGUCUUUGGUAGGAAACUUGAAGCACAGAAAGGCUGAGCCUUGCCAAAAGUCACAUGGAGAACAAUGUGGGUGGCAGAGCUUGAAAUCCAGCUCACUUCAGUUAGCCAUGGGACCACAUUUCUCUUUGCCAUCUACCAACUUUCAAAGAGUCAGUCAGUCUCACUCUGCUUGUUCCAAGAAGGUUCCACUCAGUGCCUUGUCUGACCUGCUCUGGGAAUAGUGCAAGAAGCUUCUAUCUGCCUCAUCUGUUGUAGGAGCUGGACAGUGUGAGAUGAAUGAAGCUUGCAAGAGAAGAGAGUGUGAGCUAUGAAUAAGAGGCUGAAUACUUGCUCAGCUGGAUUCUACUUACAGUGACCUCCUUAGCACUAAAGCUGUUACUUCGUGGCCAGUUUACACUUUCAUGGCUCACACCUACAGCUACAGUGACAACAGGUGAAAUCCAGCCUCUCUCUAGCUGGGGCUCUUUAUUUUGCUCUCAUAUUAGUGCAGUAGAUUGGUGAAUCAAAUAAAGGAAAUCAUCUGAGUUAAAGGUCACUUAAGAAUCCGUUGCUCAGUUACUGUGCAGGUAAAGGAUUAAUUGUGGGCAGAUGAGGAAGAGAGCAGAAAUGUGUGACCAGGGAAAUGAGAGCUAGGAUGGUUUCUUCCAGCCACAGAGCCAGCUUAUGGCAGUUUAAAGUAAUCGUGAAGCUACAGUGUUCGUCUCAUCCUCCCCUCUCAGUUUCAGGCCUUCUGGCCCUAGCUAUAUACUUCACAUUGGGGUAAUUCAGGUUCUUCCAAUUGCCAAAAGAAUUGGAAAGAAACAGGAGAAAGGUACCAGCUGUGGCUCAAAGCAGCCACUGAAGAUCCUGCCUGGGUCAAGGAUGAAGGCAGCAUGAACCUUCCAAGAAUUUUGACUACGGAUGUCCAACGAGGUCUUCUUGACUCCAUGGCUUCUCACAAACUUGCACUUUGAGCCCUGGUAGAAGAUUUGAAGAAGAAAUGUGUAUUUUAUCACAACAGCUUUCUUGGGAAACUUUCUGGGAAGUUUCUUCUCUAAAGCACACAGGUAGUAGUUCUCUAAGGAAAAAUGAACAGCUUCUCUUUAUUGCUGAGUCAAAUGAUGUGGUAUUCUCUGGUCUUUUUUGCAAAAGGAGCAGAACCAGUCAAUGAAAUUUUCCCACAUGAUUUGAGGAUUGUCUAUGUAAUAUCAAGCAUUAA